Molecule: long non-coding RNA, 2374 nt
Organism: Podarcis raffonei (Aeolian wall lizard)
Lineage: Eukaryota; Metazoa; Chordata; Lepidosauria; Squamata; Lacertidae
Exons: 2
Source: RefSeq, a predicted model, not a curated record
UUGGUGUGUGUAUGUUUGUGUGGCUUUUUUUUUUAACCUCCCCCCUUCUCUUCCGUGGUCCUAUCCUCUUCUUCAGAUCACUUAUCUCUGCCCCCACCUCCUCGGAGCGCAGCACCAUCCCAGCCUUUCCUCCUCCUCCCCCCCCCCGCCACUUCCCCUGAUCUGCCCCUUUAAGAAAAAGCGACCUUUCUCUCUCUCCCUAACCCUUUACAUGCUGCCCUUCCCCAGUGGACAAUAUUUAAAGAUGGAAGGUAACAUCCAGGAAGAGUGGGAUUUACCUCCAGGUAGGCAGGUUGAGGAAGAUCGCAGCCGCGGCUGAGGUUGACUGCAGAAGCUGUGGCCGUUUCCCUACUCGGCGGGGGCUUAUAGAAUUACCAGGGUGCACAGACGAUGUUUAGGUGCACAGACUUCUUCUACCUUUUACCAUGUCUUUCUCCCAGUUUUGUGCCGUUACCGAAAAACGUGCAUCCCCUUCCACUCCAGUGCAUUUAAGCCAAUCUGGCGGGCAACAUGAAAACUCCCCCUGCACACGCAAACGACUUUCGUUUUCCUAACGAUCGGCGCAUUCUUUCCCACCCUGUCCCCAAUCCAUUUACAAUAAAAUUUGGGUGGGUUGGGGGCUUUCGGUUCUCUCUCCUCCCAGCCCCCCCCCCUCCAUCAGCCGGUUUAAACGAUUCUGUCUCCAUCGUGGUGCUUGUUUAAAACACGCUAAAACCUGAUCGUGGGUCCUCGAGAUGUGUGUGUGUAGGGAAGCAUCUGGGCUGCGACCCGCUGCUGGAGCCUGGGCUUACUCUGAAGUAAGCUUCCGCCAAGCUGAAUGGGUCUUGGCUCCCCAGCGGGCUAGCACUGCAAAGCAGCCUUCAGGGGCGAAGCACUUCAGACCAGAACUUCGCAAUACGACUUCCCACGAGCUCAGGAACCUUGUCAGCUCCCCAGGAAACGUUCCCAAUGAAUCGCUGUGGCCUUACUCGGAAGUAAGGAGUAAGGGGCUCCUUUAACGCCUAGUUAAAUGAAGUUAAGCUGGCCGAUCCCUCGGGCAGCUUGACUCGGAAGACAAUUCAUAUUUGUUUGUUUUUUACCCAAUGGGCCGCAUUCCUAUGCAAGGUUACUUGGGAGUUAGGCUUAAUGAACUCAAAUGUGGCAAGCUGCUAAUUCACAAGUAAGUAUGCGCAGGAUGGAAGAGCUCAGCCACUCAGGCAGCCUGGGCACCGGCUCCUUCUCUCUCUGAUCUCUGACUUACCUAUUUUGCCACAGCGAUGAAUGUGUCCUGCUCAAAAACAAAAAAACAUGGGGUUCUGAUCUAAGCAAGUUCACCUGCUCUACGGCGCUUCCUGUUCAUACAUAUAUAUGUAAUUACACGCUAUUCUCUAUUCUUACUCCUCCUUUCUUCCAGCUAAUUUUUAUUAUAACAGCCUUUCCACUUGAAUGUUGGACUCUGCUUUUUACAGGUCCGGGGGUGUUGCUUUAGCAGGGAUCAAGGCGGUAAGUAUCAUUUUCAGGUCCUUUAAUUAAUAUAUAUAUUAUCAUCAUUAUCUAUUUCAAAUGCUUGGUUGUCCUUUAUAGAAACGACCCUAUUCUCCUGGGCAAUGGAUGGAAAUGGAGGAAGCUGGAUCUUUGCAUUCCUGAAUUUUUCAGGAAUCCCCGGAAAUGGGAAAGUGGGUGGAGGACACUAGCCCCCCUCCCCGGAGUAAAUAGCCUGGCUGGAUCAGUAUUAAUUAAUUACUCCCUUUGGGAAUUCAAGGGCCCAGGAGAGAUGGUGACUGGAAAGGAUACAUUGCGUGGUGUGUGGGGGGUGUUUAUAAAAUAUAAAGGGAAAGGGAAUGUCAAGAAGCCUUCAAGAAAAUAAACCAGAUUUUUUUUAAUGCGGGUGGGGGGGGGAGAAGAAACAGGACAAGAGGCGUUCACACCCCACCCCCAGCAAAAUAAAAAAGCAGCCUAGCAGCCGACCGGCAGGUGGGAGAUAUGAGGAGAGAACAAAGUUUGAGGUUGAAAACUGCAUACUUUAUUACUAGAAUGAAGUACAAUGAAAUAAAUUAUUAUUAUUAAGAUUAUAGAAGAUUUUCUCUUUUUUUGUAUCUAGAUUUAUAUUAAUCCUGUUGUGGUCAGGGCAAAGGAGGUCUGAAAACAUUUAUUAUAUUUUCAAGUGGGGGACGGGGACGGAAGAGAGAGGUAACAAACCAAGUCCCCUUCUCCUUUUCUUCAUUUUGUGCUUGAGGUUCAGUUACUUCAACGCCUCGCGAUUUAACUCAAUCAGGUUCUGGGAUUCCGCCGCCCGUCCGCACACCCCGUUCUGUUUCCACAAACUUGUAAUAAAGCUGGUAAUUUUAAAAGCCAUUCAAAUAAUAAAACAAAGCCUGCCGAAUUAUUAUUUAUU